This 383-nucleotide ribosomal RNA is filed under the name uncultured eukaryote. Its description in RNAcentral is "partial 18S ribosomal RNA". It matches the Rfam family "Eukaryotic small subunit ribosomal RNA", at positions 592 to 976 of the family's 1831-position model. The record is from RNAcentral.
CAAUAGCGUAUAUUAAAGUUGUUGCAGUUAAAAAGCUCGUAGUUGGAUUUCUGGUGGGAGCGAUCGGUCUGGCGCUUAGCGCGAGUACUUGCAUCGUCUCCGGCCAUCCUUGGGGAGAGUCUGUCUGGCAUUAGGUUGUCGGGCAGAGGAUCCUCAUCGUUUACUGUGAAAUAAUUAGAGUGUUCAAAGCAGGCUUAUGCCGUUGAAUAUAUUAGCAUGGAAUAAUAAGAUAGGACUUUGGUACUAUUUUGUUGGUUUGCGCACCAAAGUAAUGAUUAAUAGGGACAGUUGGGGGUAUUCGUAUUCCGUUGUCAGAGGUGAAAUUCUUGGAUUUACGGAAGACGAACUACUGCGAAAGCAUUUACCAAGGAUGUUUUCAUUAA